GACGAACGCUGGCGGCGUGCUUAACACAUGCAAGUCGAACGGAAAGGCCCUGCUUUUGUGGGUUGCUCGAGUGGCGAACGGGUGAGUAACACGUGAGUAACCUGCCCGUUACUUUGGGAUAACUUCAGGUAACUGGGGCUAAUACCGGAUAGGAGCUCCUGCGGCAUGGUGGGGGUUGGAAAGUUUCGGCGGUUGGGGAUGGACUCGCGGCUUAUCAGCUUGUUGGUGGGGUAGUGGCUUACCAAGGCUUUGACGGGUAGCCGGCAUGAGAGGGUGACCGGCCACAUUGGGACUGAGAUACGGACCAGACUCCUACGGGAGGCAGCAGUGGGGAAUAUUGCACAAUGGGCGGAAGCCUGAUGCAGCAACGCCGCGUGCGGGAUGACGGCCUUCGGGUUGUAAACCGCUUUCGCCUGUGACGAAGCGUGAGUGACGGUAAUGGGUAAAGAAGCACCGGCUAACUACGUG
Molecule: ribosomal RNA, 468 nt
Filed under: uncultured bacterium
Lineage: Bacteria
Description: partial 16S ribosomal RNA
Rfam family: Bacterial small subunit ribosomal RNA
Source: RNAcentral